RNAcentral lists this transfer RNA (77 nucleotides) under Planctomycetota bacterium. RNAcentral's name for it is "Planctomycetes bacterium (gut metagenome) tRNA-Met". It matches the Rfam family "tRNA". Rfam says of the family: Transfer RNA (tRNA) molecules are approximately 80 nucleotides in length. Lineage: Bacteria; Pseudomonadati; Planctomycetota. The record is from RNAcentral.
CGCGGGGUGGAGCAGCUUGGUAGCUCGUCGGGCUCAUAACCCGGAGGUCGCAGGUUCAAAUCCUGCCCCCGCCACCA